AGAGUUUGAUCCUGGCUCAGGAUGAACGCUGGCGGCGUGCUUAACACAUGCAAGUCGAACGAAGCAACUUCUUGCUUGCAAGAAGUUGACUUAGUGGCGGACGGGUGAGUAACGCGUGGGUAACCUGCCUCAUACAGGGGGAUAACAGUUGGAAACGACUGCUAAGACCGCAUAACCCGCUAGUGUCGCAUGACACGGACGGAAAAUAUUUAUAGGUAUGAGAUGGGCCCGCGUCUGAUUAGCUAGUUGGUAAGGUAACGGCUUACCAAGGCGACGAUCAGUAGCCGACUUGAGAGAGUGAUCGGCCACAUUGGGACUGAGACACGGCCCAAACUCCUACGGGAGGCAGCAGUGGGGAAUAUUGGACAAUGGGGGAAACCCUGAUCCAGCGACGCCGCGUGAGUGAAGAAGUAUUUCGGUAUGUAAAGCUCUAUCAGCAGGGAAGAUAAUGACAGUACCUGACUAAGAAGCCCCGGCUAACUACGUGCCAGCCGCCGC
Molecule: ribosomal RNA, 498 nt
Filed under: uncultured bacterium
Lineage: Bacteria
Description: bacterial SSU rRNA
Rfam family: Bacterial small subunit ribosomal RNA
Source: RNAcentral